GAGUUUGAUCAUGGCUCAGGACGAACGCUGGCGGCGUGCUUAACACAUGCAAGUCGAGCGAAGGAAUACUUAGGAAGCCUUCGGGAAGAAUACGUAUUUCUUAGCGGCGGACGGGUGAGUAACGCGUGAGGAAUCUGCCUCGCACAAGGGGAUAGCCUCGGGAAACCGGGAUUAAUACCCUAUGAUACUUACACUGCGCAUGCAGAGUAAGUUAAAGGAUAUCGGUGUGAGAUGGCCUCGCGUCCCAUUAGCUUGUUGGCAGGGUAAAAGCCUACCAAGGCGACGAUGGGUAGCCGGCCUGAGAGGGUGAACGGCCACAUUGGAACUGAGACACGGUCCAGACUCCUACGGGAGGCAGCAGUGGGGAAUAUUGCACAAUGGAGGGAACUCUGAUGCAGCAACGCCGCGUGAGCGAAGAAGGUUUUAGGAUCGUAAAGCUCUGUCCUAGGGGAAGAUAAUGACGGUACCCGAGGAGGAAGCCCCGGCUAACUACGUGCCAGCAGCCGCGGUAAUAC
This 515-nucleotide ribosomal RNA is filed under the name uncultured bacterium. RNAcentral describes it as "bacterial SSU rRNA". It matches the Rfam family "Bacterial small subunit ribosomal RNA", at positions 9 to 526 of the family's 1533-position model. The record is from RNAcentral.